Molecule: long non-coding RNA, 347 nt
Organism: Parus major (Great Tit)
Lineage: Eukaryota; Metazoa; Chordata; Aves; Passeriformes; Paridae
Exons: 2
Source: RefSeq, a predicted model, not a curated record
GCGAGGGGCGGGGCCCGGCUGAGGGGGAGCGAUCCGGUUCCCAGGGAAGGGCGGCUGUCCUUUUCUGUGUUUGAGAUGUGUAUGCUCAACUCUUGGUGUGAUCAAGACCACCAACUCCAGCUUCAACUUUGUUUCUGCUUCCUGUCCCAUCACAUUAAUUUUCCAGACUUCAAAAGGAAAAAAAUAGGCAUCUCAGUGGUUACUUUUUGGUCAAAAAAACCCCAACAAAACAAAAACAAACAAAAAAAAUCCCAGCCCUAGACUUUUCUCUAUACCAGGCUGCAGUUUAAUUUGAAACAAUUAAAUAUUCAGUGUAAAGCAAAAUAAAAAUAAAAUUUAUAACUCUA